RNAcentral lists this ribosomal RNA (500 nucleotides) under uncultured bacterium. RNAcentral describes it as "partial 16S ribosomal RNA". It matches the Rfam family "Bacterial small subunit ribosomal RNA", at positions 30 to 523 of the family's 1533-position model. The record is from RNAcentral.
AUUGAACGCUGGCGGCAGGCCUAACACAUGCAAGUCGAGCGGAUGACGGGAGCUUGCUCCUUGAUUCAGUGGCGGACGGGUGAGUAAUGCCUAGGAAUCUGCCUGCUAGUGGGGGACAACGUUUCGAAAGGAACGCUAAUACCGCAUACGUCCUACGGGAGAAAGCAGGGGACCUUCGGGCCUUGCGCUAUCAGAUGAGCCGAGGUCGGAUUAGCUAGUUGGUGGGGUACUGGCUCACCAAGGCGACGAUCCGUAACUGGUCUGAGAGGAUGAUCAGUCACACUGGAACUGAGACACGGUCCAGACUCCUACGGGAGGCAGCAGCGGGGAAUAUUGGACAAUGGGCGAAAGCCUGAUCCAGCCAUGCCGCGUGUGUGAAGAAGGUCUUCGGAUUGUAAAGCACUUUAAGUUGGGAGGAAGGGCAGUAAGCUAAUACCUUGCUGUUUUGACGUUACCGACAGAAUAAGCACCGGCUAACUCUGUGCCAGCCGCCGCAGUAA